Neofelis nebulosa (Clouded leopard) is the source of this 1527-nucleotide long non-coding RNA. RefSeq lists it as uncharacterized. Lineage: Eukaryota; Metazoa; Chordata; Mammalia; Carnivora; Felidae. The transcript is spliced from 3 exons. The record is from RefSeq and is a predicted model, not a curated record.
UCUUUGGGGAACUGAAGACUUAACACUCUUGCCCAAGUAGCUCCCACAGAACAUUUCAGUUAAUCACUCCAGGGUAAGGAUAGAUGCUGACUCUUUCACAUAUUUUCUCAGAUCAGGUUUUCAUUAUAAUAUUUUAUGGUUUUAAACCCUUUGAAAAUGUGCUCAGGGCACUUCCCCGCUCUGUCCAAAAACUGGCAAAGGAGAGGGCAUGCCUCGCAGAGUCCUUUGCCCAGCAAAGGACAUUCUUCAAAGACUUGUUCAGGGUCCCUCUCACUCCCCACCCUCCACCCACGAUGGCUUUGACUCUGGUAUGAGCUCCUGUCAAAAGGCCAUCAACAACAUGCUGAGACUGGCUGGAAAGAAGUUCUCUGAGUCAACACUGGUUUGUUGUGCCUCUAACAAUUCUCAGGAACUGAACAUACUGUCUGAGUUCGACCACACCUUCUGGAAAAUGAGGGCAAAUCUCAAACACUCCCAAGUAUUUGUUGAUUUUUCAGAGGCUAUGCCCUGUUGGCAUUACCCAAUUAAGACAGACCUCUGACCCUUGAGGACCUACAUACUGAGAAACAAAGUGACAUGUUCCCAAGCCGUGUUACAACUGAAUUCCAUUUGUACUUCCUUCAGAUGCCUGGCAAGAUUGAGAAGGAACACUUCCAGAAGCCAUAUUGAUAAUCAUCGGGUGCAGCAAAAGCUGGGCAUCCACAGUCACGACUGGCCUUGCUCUGCAGGGAGGAAACAAGAGGUUUCGAUGAGCCACAUGAACAACACUGCACUUCUAGGGACCACUGCCAACGUUCCCAGCCUUCAGGCCAAGAAUUUGCCUCACUGCAUGAACAGGUGGGCUCCAGACUUAACUAAUUACCUUAAAACACAUGUCGUCGCUCAUGACUCCAAAUGAAGGAUGCUAUGGGCCCCAUCAGGCAAAACUGUGUUCACAGACUCGCUUUGUUUAUGGAGGGGGCUCAGGGUAUUUGGUGCUAUUGCCAUGCACUGCCUCUCUGGAAUCUGCUCUAUUCCUAUCGGAGCAAAUGCGUCAUUCUGCCUUCACUCGUGCCUCAUAUCCGUGCAUUUCUGCUAUGUCAGAGGAAAAAAGAGUUACUGAUUUGAAAAUACAGACUCCAGUAUUCAGACAAGUGUGGGCCACACGGUCCUCAGGGUGAUCCCUAUUUGUUGAAAUGACACCAGAUGAGAGUUCUACUAUGAAAAAUGACUCAAGAGGAAUUGUGUGCUUUGUUUUUGGCUCCAAAUAAGGUUAAAUAUUAAUAUGCCAAGAUUAGACAUUUUAUAAAAGAUGGGUUUUAAGAACGGACUGUCCAGAAAUGGCAAAGAAAAUAAGACUAGAAGCUCUUCCAAGGCAAGAAUCUUUCUUCAGGCUUGCACAUGACAAGUACUUCAUGGGAUGGUACAGGUUGAAAUAAAUGAAGAUAGAAAUAAUUUUGGGAUGCACAGCACCAGGUACAGGGCCAGAUUUGGAACAGGGGCUUUAUAAAUGCUUGAACUAGGAGAAUAAGUAAUAAUGAGAUAAUA